UGCUUUUUAGCAAAGGCUUGAGAUUUAAUUGAACUAAAUUGAGGUUUAGGAAGAUUAUUUGCACUUUCUGAUGGAGGGUUUAAAGAUUUCCCCAUCAGUUGACGCUUGUCGAGCGAGUCGUGAGUCCGAGUCAGUGGGGGAAUGUCUGUGGGCUACUCGACCUAAUCUAUUCUGCCGGACCAUGUGCCUCAUCUCGAACGAGGGACUCCCUCUCCCCUGCUUUUAAGUAGCCCCUGACGCUUUACUGUUGCAAGCCUGCAGAAACCCCAGCUUUUUCACUGCUCAAAACGGCAUACAAGACUGGUCAUAAGGCUGGUCACGUGUUGAGGUCCUUCUCUCUCUCUCUCUCUCUCUUCAGCGGUCUCUUCAGCGGUCAAUUACUCGUUAGACUCGAACAGCAAGUAACAUGUAACAUAAUUUAUGUUUUCCCAGGUGCGAUGAUAGUAUAUUCACUCCCGAUGUUAUCCCCCUGUCCCCUUAAGUUUUAUCAGCUACCUUGGAUGCCCCAAGCCUGAGUUUCUCUCCUCGUCCUUUCGUUUUGCUUGUUCCUUCAACGUGGGAAACAUUUUACCGCCAUGUGAUUUCACUCCCAUGUUCAACUGUCAAGAGUGACACG
Molecule: long non-coding RNA, 616 nt
Filed under: Eucalyptus grandis
Lineage: Eukaryota; Viridiplantae; Streptophyta; Magnoliopsida; Myrtales; Myrtaceae
Description: long non-coding RNA (EGRA_LNC004639)
Source: RNAcentral